CCUACGGGUGGCAGCAGUGGGGAAUAUUGGACAAUGGGCGAAAGCCUGAUCCAGCCAUGCCGCGUGUGUGAAGAAGGCCUUCGGGUUGUAAAGCACUUUCAGUGGGGAAGAAAGCUUUGGGGCUAAUACCCUCGAGGAAGGACAUCACCCACAGAAGAAGCACCGGCUAACUCCGUGCCAGCAGCCGCGGUAAUACGGAGGGUGCGAGCGUUAAUCGGAAUUACUGGGCGUAAAGCGCGCGUAGGCGGUCUGAUAAGCCGGUUGUGAAAGCCCCGGGCUCAACCUGGGAACGGCAUCCGGAACUGUCAGGCUAGAGUGCAGGAGAGGAAGGUAGAAUUCCCGGUGUAGCGGUGAAAUGCGUAGAGAUCGGGAGGAAUACCAGUGGCGAAGGCGGCCUUCUGGACUGACACUGACGCUGAGGUGCGAAAGCGUGGGUAGCAAACAGGAUUAGAUACCCUUGUAGUC
RNAcentral lists this ribosomal RNA (465 nucleotides) under Vreelandella stevensii. RNAcentral's name for it is "partial 16S ribosomal RNA". It matches the Rfam family "Bacterial small subunit ribosomal RNA", at positions 338 to 795 of the family's 1533-position model. Lineage: Bacteria; Pseudomonadati; Pseudomonadota; Gammaproteobacteria; Oceanospirillales; Halomonadaceae. The record is from RNAcentral.